AACGCGAAGAACCUUACCAGGUCUUGACAUCGUAUGCAUACCAUAGAGAUAUGGGAAAUUCCUUCGGGAACAUAUAGACAGGUGGUGCAUGGUUGUCGUCAGCUCGUGUCGUGAGAUGUUGGGUUAAGUCCCGCAACGAGCGCAACCCUUACCUUUAGUUGCUACGCAAGAGCACUCUAAAGGGACUGCCGUUGACAAAACGGAGGAAGGUGGGGAUGACGUCAAAUCAUCAUGCCCCUUAUGACCUGGGCUACACACGUACUACAAUGGCAAUUAACAAAGAGAAGCAAGACGGUGACGUGGAGCGAAUCUCAAAAAAUUGUCCCAGUUCAGAUUGCAGGCUGCAACUCGCCUGCAUGAAGUCGGAAUUGCUAGUAAUCGCGGAUCAGCAUGCCGCGGUGAAUACGUUCCCGGGCCUUGUACACACCG
Molecule: ribosomal RNA, 429 nt
Filed under: uncultured bacterium
Lineage: Bacteria
Description: bacterial SSU rRNA
Rfam family: Bacterial small subunit ribosomal RNA
Source: RNAcentral